Molecule: transfer RNA, 47 nt
Filed under: Antrophyum malgassicum
Lineage: Eukaryota; Viridiplantae; Streptophyta; Polypodiopsida; Polypodiales; Pteridaceae
Description: partial tRNA-Leu
Source: RNAcentral
CCGUUGGUUUCGACCGUGAGGGUUCAAGUCCCUCUAUCCCCAAAAGA